CACUCCUACGGGAGGCAGCAGUGGGGAAUAUUGCACAAUGGGCGCAAGCCUGAUGCAGCGACGCCGCGUGGGGGAUGAAGGCCUUCGGGUUGUAAACUCCUUUCGCUAGGGACGAAGCUUUUUUGUGACGGUACCUAGAUAAGAAGCACCGGCUAACUACGUGCCAGCAGCCGCGGUAAUACGUAGGGUGCGAGCGUUGUCCGGAAUUACUGGGCGUAAAGGGCUCGUAGGUGGUUUGUCGCGUCGUCUGUGAAAUUCUGGGGCUUAACUCCGGGCGUGCAGGCGAUACGGGCAUAACUUGAGUGCUGUAGGGGUAACUGGAAUUCCUGGUGUAGCGGUGAAAUGCGCAGAUAUCAGGAGGAACACCGAUGGCGAAGGCAGGUUACUGGGCAGUUACUGACGCUGAGGAGCGAAAGCAUGGGUAGCGAACAGGAUUAGAAACCCUUGUAGUCCCA
Molecule: ribosomal RNA, 455 nt
Filed under: uncultured organism
Description: partial 16S ribosomal RNA
Rfam family: Bacterial small subunit ribosomal RNA
Source: RNAcentral